Molecule: long non-coding RNA, 2803 nt
Filed under: Brassica napus (rape)
Lineage: Eukaryota; Viridiplantae; Streptophyta; Magnoliopsida; Brassicales; Brassicaceae
Description: long non-coding RNA (BNAP_LNC002443)
Source: RNAcentral
GAUUCUCACAAAGGCUUCAGGGAGACGUGACUUGUCGGAGACUAUGAUCACGUCUUGAGCCUCUAUUAUCUUCACCCUUAGGUACCAUAGCCGAGGGGAAUGGUAGACCUUGGACCGGAGGUUAGCGGAGAUAAUGUCGGAGCUGUCUGAAGAUGUUAACGAGUCUGAGAAGACAGCAUCACCGAAGGCUUCAUCAGCUUGAGUACCUUCCCAAACAGCAAGCAUGAUCUCAGCUCUCUUCUUCUCACCUCUCUUGUUCUCAAGUCUAUACCACUCUGGAGCUAAAGGACUAUCCGGAGGGACACGAGAUUGAACCUCAUUGAGAUCAAACCGGACAGUGCCAACGUAAUCAUCUAGGACAAGGUCUUUAUCCUUGACGACUAUUUCGAGAACGUUGGACUGAAGAUUCUCUUUAGCAAAUGCAAAGACUUGGUUCCACUCCGGAUCCGAGUUCUUGUCCAAAUGUCUUGUAACUCCUUUGAAGUUUCCUAUUUUUACUUCCACGUAAGGGUCUAGGCUUCCCGUUAGGUCUCUGUCGGGGAGAUCACGCGCCUUCACGACUCUCACGAAGAGAAACCUCAUCUCUUCGACGAGAUCGUAUGUGCCUACGGGCCUCUGCGUACCACGAACUAUUCGUCCUCCAAUGAUCCGUCCACCUCCGAGGAAAGGGCUCGUCUCUUUCACAGUGAAAUCUGAUGAUGGGCCUGGGCCGUUGUGAAGAAGAUGAAAGAGUUCUAUAUAGAGACAUAUAUAUGUUUGUUUGAAUCCUCACGAAACACGAUUCAGAGCAUAGAGUCUGUCAUGGCCGGAAGUCGCCGGAAAAAGUUGAGCGGAGCCGAUGGAAUGCGGUGUCGGAGCUUAGGGUGCCUCAUGAAGUAGUAACCGGAGAGGAGAGCAAAGAGCUUAAAAGGUGUUAUGUAGAGAACCAUUGCAACGAUGAAACAGAACGUCACAAAUAUUGCGGUAGCGCGUGGAUCACGCCAGCUCAGCAGAGCCUGCACGCGCUCUCCCUGUGCCGCUAUGUCUCCAACCACCGUCUGUAUCUUCCCCGCCACAAUUCUCAGCCGAUCAUACCUGUUAAACAACCGUGUUAGAGGUUCCAGGUUCGAGAGACCAUAGGGACGAAACUAAUAUUACAUUUAUUGUUUCGGGUCGGGAGGAUUACUAGCUUCGGUCCCGAACCUCAUAGUAUUCAAAAAAAUAAAUUAAGUAAAUAACUUGAUGAGUUACCUCAUUUUGACAAUGUCUGGAGCCUUCAUGGUCGGGAAGAUAUCAAACUCUUCGUCGAGCUCAUCAGCAUUCACACUCUCCGCGUAAGACAGUUUGGUAUCCAUAUGAGGAGGAAACCUCGGCCUAAUCCUGUAGUUCCACAACCCAAUCACAGCCAUAUACAGAAACACAGUCGGCAAAAUCAUCUCCGGGAACAUCACAAGCAUCGUGUACAACACAUGCACAAGCCCCGUCGUCACCGGCGUCCUCCAGCUGCAAACUUCUCCCAUCCAUUUCCACACCGACAUCACUCCCGAGAACACCGCGGUGAACCUAAAGAAGUUAGCCUUGCUUCUCCUCAUGCUGAAGAGAUGAGUCUUGGCAUCCGUCAUGUACUCGACAACUUCGCGUCUAAGCGGCGGCUCCGACCGUCCUAAGCGAGCCACGAUUAUGUUGAGAGCCUGGACUCUAAGAAUUUCUUGUAGGUUUACGGAUAAAGGCUGCGUGUAAUGCAUUUUAGGCAAGAGAGGUUUGGUGUAUUUCAUCAGCGUGUUGGAGACGGAUGUGCAGGUGAACCUCACUGCUAAGUGAAGCUCGCCUCUUUUCUUGAGACCAGAUGGGGUUAGAACUAGUAAAGGGUACGCGUUCGUGUAUACGCGGCCCGUCUGAAGAGUAGAGAGUCUGAUACGGACUUUCCCAAUGGUCUGAUCUCUGCCAUUUCCAGAUGAAAAGUGACCGUUGUCGAAUACGCAGAUGGUUAAGACCGUCGCGGGGUCUAAAACCUCCCAUGUGUACUGCUCAUUGUACUUUGGAUUCAAGCUGUUGAUCACAGUUCUCGACCGAACCCACUUGUGACCGUACUUGGCAACAACGUACGUGUCCGAAGUACCUUUCCCGUCUCGGUUUUUAACCGGGUGGAGCCCGUUUGCGUUGAGUAUCCCAAGCUCCAAGACACCGAUCGCUUGUUUCCAGAGCUGUCUCGCCGUUGGCCUUAGAUCGCUGCUGUAGUAAGUAGACUCGUCAAAGACAUGGUAGCCUCCUUCAAGAACCGCAGCCACGUGGAGCCUAGUAGCGAACUUUACUCUCUUGGCUUUGUCCUCAUCCAUAGCGUCUGAGAUCGAGUCUUCGAGAUGAAACCAACGGCUACGGAACGCUCUAUCAUCAUUACGUCUCUCGAUAGCGGAGAGAGGGAUCACAGCUUUGCCUACAGGCUCGUCUCUGUUGGCUGCGGAGUGGUCUUCCACCGAGAGGACCAGGUGUUCCUCAAACGGCUCCGCGACUACGAACAUGAACUCAUUGUCCCAUCUCGGAUGAAAGCUUCUUUGAGCCACUUUAGUCUUUAACAUCUGGUUACCGACCUGGAUUCUCACAAAGGCUUCAGGGAGACGUGACUUGUCGGAGACUAUGAUCACGUCUUGAGCCUCUAUUAUCUUCACCCUUAGGUACCAUAGCCGAGGGGAAUGGUAGACCUUGGACCGGAGGUUAGCGGAGAUAAUGUCGGAGCUGUCUGAAGAUGUUAACGAGUCUGAGAAGACAGCAUCACCGAAGGCUUCAUCAGCUUGAGUACCUUCCCAAACAGCAAGCAUGAUCUCAG